UAAGAUUUUGAUGCAUCAUAUCGAUUCUACGUGAAUUUUGUAGUAACCCCAGUGUAACAAGGACGCCCCGGUAGCAACUACUUUAUUUCCUCAUAACUUACUCAUGAAUUUCACGUAAAGUCUAAGUGGAUGAUUUGUUUGUGCAUUUUUGAAUCCGUUUUGUGCAUUUUUCUCCAGCGUGUGGUGGUAAAUUCAAAUUAGAAUAUGGAAUUGUGGUUCGUCAGCUUUGUUCCAUGUUGUGAAAUUUUUUGAAGCCGUUGUGCCUGUUGUUAUCAUGAUCGGAUAUCCAACUGUUUAGGAUUUGUCGUUUUGCAAUGGCUCUGAAUACAAAUGCUUUUCCGUUGGAACUGAAGAUGACCUUUCGUUCUUUGGUGGGUCUGUUCGAAUAAGAGGUUCAACGGAACAACAGACAAGGAUUUCAAAAAGAAAGCUGCGUUGAAGGAUGUCCAAAAAUAAGUGUUUCUUAUACUUAAAAAGUGUGGUGUUAAGAUGUGCA
Long non-coding RNA from Uranotaenia lowii, 496 nucleotides. RefSeq lists it as uncharacterized. The transcript is spliced from 3 exons. NCBI's taxonomy places the organism in Eukaryota, Metazoa, Arthropoda, Insecta, Diptera, Culicidae. The record is from RefSeq and is a predicted model, not a curated record.